AAAUCGUUUAUUGUAUCUUGAAAAUACACAAAAAGUUCUUAAACUUACGAUUUU
This 54-nucleotide transfer RNA is filed under the name Thulinius sp. DVL-2010. RNAcentral describes it as "tRNA-Ser". Lineage: Eukaryota; Metazoa; Tardigrada; Eutardigrada; Parachela; Doryphoribiidae. The record is from RNAcentral.